GACUGCAGCCAUGCCACCUUGAACAUGCCUGAUCUCGUCUGAUCUCGGAAGCUAAGCAGGAUCAGGCCUGUUUAGUACUUGGAUGGGAGACCACCUAGGAAGACCAAGUGCUGUAGCCG
Molecule: ribosomal RNA, 119 nt
Filed under: Pteropus alecto (black flying fox)
Lineage: Eukaryota; Metazoa; Chordata; Mammalia; Chiroptera; Pteropodidae
Also listed under: 1 other name
Source: RNAcentral